GACGUAGGGCGCGAGCGUUGUCCGGAUUUAUUGGGCGUAAAGAGCUCGUAGGCGGCUCGUUGCGUCGGCUGUGAAAACCCGCGGCUCAACUGUGGGCUUGCAGCUGAUACGGGCGGGCUGGAGUUCGGUAGGGGAGACUGGAAUUCCUGGUGUAGCGGUGAAAUGCGCAGAUAUCAGGAGGAACACCGGUGGCGAAGGCGGCUUCCUGGACCGACACUGACGCUGAGGCGCGAAAGCGUGGGGAGCGAACAGG
RNAcentral lists this ribosomal RNA (253 nucleotides) under uncultured bacterium. Its description in RNAcentral is "partial 16S ribosomal RNA". It matches the Rfam family "Bacterial small subunit ribosomal RNA", at positions 524 to 776 of the family's 1533-position model. The record is from RNAcentral.